This is a long non-coding RNA of Dicentrarchus labrax (European seabass), 1338 nucleotides long. RefSeq lists it as uncharacterized. The record is from RefSeq and is a predicted model, not a curated record. Lineage: Eukaryota; Metazoa; Chordata; Actinopteri; Moronidae. The transcript is spliced from 3 exons.
UGUAAUGACCUUGGCUCCCUCUCGGUUUGGCUUGCAGUGAUCUCAGAAUGAAAACAGAUUUUCCUGGUUUGCAUCAUCAGUAAUCACCAUUUUGCAACGUUCAGCAAGACCUGGUAGCACACGUCACACCACCACCUGUGAUAUUCCUAAGGAAGGCAGCAGAACUGCAAGUGAAACUGGCAAGGACUUGCUAUCACCACCUAUCAUGGACAAGACACACAGACAACAAGAUCUGUUCGAUCAGCGAGUCUUCCCAGCUCAUCCAACCUGCAGUCUGUUCCCUCAAUGGACAGCACAGACACUGUCACACUAAUGAAAGAAGGACAUUUCAGUAUGAACUUUAUUACAGCAUAUCACAAAAAAACUCUUAUUAGUGCUAAUGUCAGCUCUAGUCCCUUUUUUAUGUUGGUGGAGCAACAGUGUUUCAAACUUGUAAAUAUAUGAUAAUGUUCUCUUCAGCAGUAUAAUAACUGAAUGCUUGUUCCACUCUUGACAUUGAUGAGGUGUACCACCAACCCCUGAUUGGCAGCAUAUUCCCCCAGCUCCUGGUAGAAGAUGGUGGAUGAGAGGAGGGUGCGAGCAUCAUUAUCCUCUACCUCCAAAUUCCCCAAGUCUGUGUUGGCCUUCCCAUCUGUACAGAUAAUCACCUUUGAGAUCAGCAGGGAUAAAAAUGAAAAAAAUUACAUAGGAUUGUCUUAGGACCAUACCAAAGUUUUUUUUCGCAUGUUUGUGACCAUUUAUUACAAAUCAUAUACAUUUUAAACCACAGCUCAUCCAGUUCAAAGUGCAGACAGAUUUAUGCUCUGCAGUACCACACAGCAAUAACUUUUACCAUGGAGUUGUCCCAAGUACAUACAGUACACUAAGUUCAGCUUGACAUUCAUAAAAAUUAAUGCAAAUAGAUGCAGGAAAAUAUUUACUCUGUUAACAGAGAAGGAGCCAGUAAUGCUGAGGACGGUCAACAAACUUAAUAUUCAAAUAAAUGGAGUCUACACAUCUGUUAUAAACAUAUUUAUGCUGUGCAUGAGCUUUGCUGAAUAUAUGCAACUGUGCAGUGCUGUGAAAUAUAAAUGUUCUACAGGUCACAUGUAUAAUGUAAUGCAUGUGAACUGUAAAUGGGCUAAAACAUAACACAUAAACUGGUAUGGUCCUGUCAAUAAGACUUAGGACCAAACCGACCUUGGAUCCUGGCAGUCUGGAGGCUGUUGCAAUCGCCAGGAGAGCAGCUGGACCAAGAGCUGUCGCCCCACUUUCAGAUAAUCUUUUAACAAGAGGAAAAUCACAAAAAAAGUGUUUUGAAGGUAAGGUUACUACUAAGUAAUAAAAAGACAAAAACAA